Long non-coding RNA from Cylas formicarius (sweet potato weevil), 392 nucleotides. RefSeq lists it as uncharacterized. The transcript has 3 exons. The record is from RefSeq and is a predicted model, not a curated record. NCBI's taxonomy places the organism in Eukaryota, Metazoa, Arthropoda, Insecta, Coleoptera, Brentidae.
GGAUUCUGUCGGGGGCAUUGUAGAUAGCGCCUUAACCUCCGUUCGCUCAAGACAGAAUCCCUUGCAUUCGUCCCUAAAAGUUUGAAAUCGGUCUCCACUCAAUAGAUUUGGUGUUUGUGGUGUUGAGUGCAUGUUAUGAGUUAUUGUCGUAUAGAAAAACGAUACGUUCCGGUCUAUGUGCAGCGAUUGUGUUGAUACCGCUAACGUAUAAUCACAAGCCAUAUUUCAUCAAAAUUUGAAUAAAACAACUUGGAGAUAUGUUCCGGUCUAUGUGCAGCGAUUACGCUGACACCACAAACGCAUAAUCACAAAAGGGAUAUUUCAUCAAAAUUUGAAUUAAGCAAGUUCAGUUUUAGGGGUCGAAAUAAGCCAAAAACAGAUUUUGUGGAAAG